Molecule: transfer RNA, 36 nt
Filed under: Uvularia floridana
Lineage: Eukaryota; Viridiplantae; Streptophyta; Magnoliopsida; Liliales; Colchicaceae
Also listed under: 4 other names
Description: partial transfer RNA-Phe
Source: RNAcentral
GUUGGGAUAGCUCAGUUGGUAGAGCAGAGGACUGAA